GUUAACUUAGUGUAGUACUUGCACGUUGGCUUUUCAAGCCGAAAGCGCUAAUAAGCAGCUAACU
This 64-nucleotide transfer RNA is filed under the name Pyganodon grandis (giant floater mussel). RNAcentral describes it as "tRNA-Glu". Lineage: Eukaryota; Metazoa; Mollusca; Bivalvia; Unionida; Unionidae. The record is from RNAcentral.